AGCAUCCUGCAGUAAGUCUACUACUGCCUCCACAGCUAACGAGAGCUGCAUCCGAGACGCCCGUGACGUCACUGCUGUAGUGGUGGCAGUCUGCUACUACAUCCACAGUUACUGCAGCGUAGAAUCAGGUGGCCAGCAUGCCAGCAUCAAGUCCGGGCACAUCCCUUUGGACAAGAACCAGCAUCACUUCUUAUUUUACUAUGACUGUACCAUAAAAAUGAAAUAAAUAGCAGCAUUACUGUCA
Frankliniella occidentalis (western flower thrips) is the source of this 244-nucleotide long non-coding RNA. RefSeq lists it as uncharacterized. The record is from RefSeq and is a predicted model, not a curated record. Lineage: Eukaryota; Metazoa; Arthropoda; Insecta; Thysanoptera; Thripidae. The transcript has 2 exons.